UCUUGGUCAUUUAGAGGAAGUAAAAGUCGUAUCAAGGUCUCCGUAGGUGAACCUGCGGAGGGAUCACUACCGAGUGUGGCGCUCCGGCGCCUCCCUCCAACCCCAUGUCGAAACGACUCUGUUGCCUCGGGGGCGACCCGGCCUUCGGGCGUCGGGGCCCCCGGCGGACACCUUCAUAACUCUUGCAUCUCUUGCGUCUGAGUGAUACAUAUAAUCAAUCAAAACUUUCAACAACGGAUCUCUUGGUUCUGGCAUCGAUGAAGAACGCAGCGAAAUGCGAUAAGUAAUGUGAAUUGCAGAAUUCAGUGAAUCAUCGAAUCUUUGAACGCACAUUGCGCCCCCUGGCAUUCCGGGGGGCAUGCCUGUUCGAGCGUCAUUACACCACUCAAGCCUGGCUUGGUAUUGAGCGACCGCGGCCUGCCCGCGCGCUCCAAUGUCUCCGGCUGAGCCGUCCGUCUCUAAGCGUUGUGAAUAGCGAUCGCUUGCGAGGCCCGGGCGGUUCGACGCCGUUAAACCCCCCCAUUUUCUAUGGUUGACCUCGGAUCAGGUAGGGAUACCCGCUGAACUUUAAGCAUAUCAAUAAGCGGAGGAA
This 592-nucleotide ribosomal RNA is filed under the name uncultured fungus. RNAcentral describes it as "eukaryotic LSU rRNA". The stretch from base 223 to 376 matches the Rfam family "5.8S ribosomal RNA". The record is from RNAcentral. Lineage: Eukaryota; Fungi.